GAUUAACGCUGGCGGCGUGCCUAACACAUGCAAGUCGAGCGGCAGCGAGUUUUACACUGAAUUCUGGAAGCUUCUAGUUGAAAGAGAAGAUUUAUUCAAGAAUUUUGUGUAAAAUGUCGGCGAGCGGCGGACGGCGGAGUAACGCGUGGGAACGUACCCCAAAGUGAGGGAUAACGCAUCGAAAGGUGUGCUAAUACCGCAUAUGGGCGUCGGAUUAAAGCCUUCGGGCGCUUUGGGAACGGCCUGCGUAAGAUUAGAUAGUUGGUGGGGUAAUGGCCUACCAAGUCGACGUACUUUAACUGGUAUGGGGGGCUGAUCCGUCAGACUUGAACUGCGACACGGUCCAGACUCCUACGGGAGGCAGCAGUGAGGAAUCUUCCACAAUGGGCGAAAGCCUGAUGGAGCAACGCCGCGUGCAGGAUGAAGGCCUUCGGGUUGUAAACUGCUUUUAUAAGUGAGGAUUAUGACAGUAACUUAUGAAUAAGGAUCGGCUAACUACGUG
RNAcentral lists this ribosomal RNA (502 nucleotides) under uncultured bacterium. Its description in RNAcentral is "partial 16S ribosomal RNA". It matches the Rfam family "Bacterial small subunit ribosomal RNA", at positions 28 to 507 of the family's 1533-position model. The record is from RNAcentral.